GAUGAAGAACGUAGCGAAAUGCGAUACUUGGUGUGAAUUGCAGAAUCCCGUGAACCAUCGAGUCUUUGAACGCAAGUUGCGCCCGAAGCCAUUCGGCCGAGGGCACGCCUGCCUGGGCGUCACACGUCGUUGCCCCCCCAUCUACUCCUUCGGGAUUGCGGGGGGCGGAUGAUGGCCUCCCGUGCGCCUCGUCGCGCGGUUGGCAUAAAUGCCAAGUCCUCGGCGACGCACGCCACGACAAUCGGUGGUUGCGAAACCUCGGUUGCCCGUCGUGUGCGGUCGUCGCGCAUCGAGGGCUCGAAAAAAUUGCCGGGCUCCGGCUCGGCUUUCAACGCGACCCCAGGUCAGGCGGGGUUACCCGCUGAAUUUAAGCAUAUCAAUAAGCGGAGGA
This 391-nucleotide unclassified non-coding RNA is filed under the name soil metagenome. Its description in RNAcentral is "partial contains 5.8S ribosomal RNA, internal transcribed spacer 2, and large subunit ribosomal RNA". The stretch from base 1 to 122 matches the Rfam family "5.8S ribosomal RNA", at positions 35 to 154 of the family's 154-position model. The record is from RNAcentral.